ACUUAAUUAGUUUAAAUGUAAAAUAAUAAUUUGUGGAAUUAUAGAUGAAUAUUCAUUAAGUA
RNAcentral lists this transfer RNA (62 nucleotides) under Ixodes confusus. RNAcentral's name for it is "tRNA-His". Lineage: Eukaryota; Metazoa; Arthropoda; Arachnida; Ixodida; Ixodidae. The record is from RNAcentral.